RNAcentral lists this ribosomal RNA (402 nucleotides) under uncultured bacterium. RNAcentral's name for it is "bacterial SSU rRNA". It matches the Rfam family "Bacterial small subunit ribosomal RNA", at positions 29 to 416 of the family's 1533-position model. The record is from RNAcentral.
AACGAACGCUGGCGGCGUGCCUAACACAUGCAAGUCGUGCGAGAAAGUUCCUUCGGGAGCGAGUAAAGCGGCGCACGGGUGAGUAACACGUAGGUAACCUGCCCCCCAGUCUGGAACAACUAGAGGAAACUCUAGCUAAUGCCGGAUGAGACCACGAUCCCUUCGGGGUUGCGGCCAAAGAUGGCCUCUACUUGUAAGCUAUCGCUGAGGGAUGGGCCUGCGGGCCAUUAGCUUGUUGGUGAGGUAACGGCUCACCAAGGCUGUGAUGGCUAGCUGGUCUGAGAGGAUGACCAGCCACACUGGGACUGAGACACGGCCCAGACUCCUACGGGAGGCAGCAGUGGGAGUAUUGCGCAAUGGGCGAAAGCCUGACGCAGCGACGCCGCGUGGGUGAUGAAGGCC